ACGCUCGACACCUACGGGGGGCAGCAGUGAGGAAUAUUGGUCAAUGGGCGGCAGGCCUGAACCAGCCAAGUAGCGUGAAGGAUGACUGCCCUAUGGGUUGUAAACUUCUUUUAUAUGGGAAUAAAGUUUUCCACGUGUGGAAUUUUGUAUGUACCAUAUGAAUAAGGAUCGGCUAACUCCGUGCCAGGAGCCGCGGUAAUCUGAGCGGGCUGGCAAGGC
Molecule: ribosomal RNA, 219 nt
Filed under: uncultured bacterium
Lineage: Bacteria
Description: partial 16S ribosomal RNA
Rfam family: Bacterial small subunit ribosomal RNA
Source: RNAcentral